RNAcentral lists this ribosomal RNA (417 nucleotides) under uncultured bacterium. Its description in RNAcentral is "bacterial SSU rRNA". It matches the Rfam family "Bacterial small subunit ribosomal RNA", at positions 355 to 786 of the family's 1533-position model. The record is from RNAcentral.
UGGGGAAUAUUGGGCAAUGGGGGAAACCCUGACCCAGCAACGCCGCGUGAAGGAAGAAGGCCUUCGGUUGUAACAUUCUUUUAUCCAGGAGCGAAGGAAGUGACGGUACCUGGAGAAAAAGCAACGGCUAACUACGUGCCAGCAGCCGCGGUAAUACGUAGGUUGCGAGCGUUGUCCGGAUUUACUGGGUGUAAAGGGCGUGUAGGCGGAGAAGCAAGUUGGGAGUGAAAUCUAUGGGCUCAACCCAUAAACUGCUCUCAAAACUGUUUCCCUUGAGUAUCGGAGAGGCAAGCGGAAUUCCUAGUGUAGCGGUGAAAUGCGUAGAUAUUAGGAGGAACACCAGUGGCGAAGGCGGCUUGCUGGACGACAACUGACGCUGAGGCGCGAAAGCGUGGGGAGCAAACAGGAUUAGAUACC